Molecule: long non-coding RNA, 613 nt
Organism: Panonychus citri (citrus red mite)
Lineage: Eukaryota; Metazoa; Arthropoda; Arachnida; Trombidiformes; Tetranychidae
Exons: 2
Source: RefSeq, a predicted model, not a curated record
CUUGUUGGUCUAAUCUCGAUGUGAGGUGAGUUUCCAUGGUUACGCAUCAUGCAUUUCAUCAUGUCAAUAAUAAGGAUGAAGGGAGAGAGAUAAACGCUUAAAGUGAUUACUGUUGAUCAUCUUUAUCUCUUAUCCUUGUUAUUUCAUCAGUAACUUACUCAGGCUCUUCUUCUCAUCUUUAAAACUCAUCAUCAUCAUCAUCAUUUUCUUCUUCUUCUUCUUCUUCUUCACCGUCCAGACUAUAAUGUUGAUGUUCAAUUGACUCGACAAACAGCAUUCCAAAGGUUUAACUGGUAUUAGAAAAGAAAACGGGAUUGUAUUUAUUGCCCAUGAAGGAAAAAGCAAAAUCCACCGAUCGAUGACCAAUGGUGAGUAAAGUAAAUAAGUUCUAGGAGAAAGAAAUAGAAAAAGUCAAAAUAUUUGGUCACCUUAAAUUUCACCUUUUGGUACCAACAGCCUUUGAUCGAAUCUUCCUUUUACCUUGGCAUUUACUAGCAUGUUAAUCCUCAUUCGAUAAGCGGAUUAGUUAAUCUUCACAUCAUUUAUUACAAGUUAAUGAAAAAGUGAUAAAUCUUCAUUCGUAAAUCCUAAAAAUAAAACGUUUAAAACUUUC